UAUAGAUAUCAGAAAAAAUGUCAGUAAAAUUGUUUCUAGUGGUGGUCGUUCUAGGACUUUGUAGUCAACAAAUUAGCAGUUUCCUCUUACCGGAUAUACACGUUUCAUGUCCAGCGGGAGGUAAUGCCCUGUGCUCAGCUGUAUGUGAACUACGUUAUGGUAACCCGGGAUGUUGUGGCAAGUCUGGGAAAUGUCACAAUGUGUGUUAUUGUUCCACGAGUGGAUAUGCCCACAGAUGUAGUCAUUGCGAUAUAUGAACACGUGUAGAAGACUAAAAAUAUUACAUUUUCUUCAAUUAAAAACUUAAAGAUUUAAAUAUCAUCAUAUUUUUGUUAUGUGUCGUUAAUGCUAGAGUGUCCGUCUACGUUUCUUGUCCAUUGUUCUUCGCUUUUUGUCUUCUCUUGCUUUCUUUAUUUUAAAUAAGUUGAGACCAACAUCCAAUUGGGAUUUUAUCUGUUAAGGAUACUAGUUAUAUCCAAAAUGGAAUAUAAAUUUCAGCGCAAAUAAUUUUAAUUUUGCAUUUUGCAUUCAAGAAUAUCCAAACAGAGCAUUU
This is a long non-coding RNA of Mytilus californianus (California mussel), 553 nucleotides long. RefSeq lists it as uncharacterized. The transcript is spliced from 3 exons. Lineage: Eukaryota; Metazoa; Mollusca; Bivalvia; Mytilida; Mytilidae. The record is from RefSeq and is a predicted model, not a curated record.